Molecule: ribosomal RNA, 253 nt
Filed under: uncultured bacterium
Lineage: Bacteria
Description: partial 16S ribosomal RNA
Rfam family: Bacterial small subunit ribosomal RNA
Source: RNAcentral
UACGUAGGGUGCGAGCGUUAAUCGGAAUUACUGGGCGUAAAGCGUGCGCAGGCGGUCUUGUAAGCCAGAUGUGAAAGCCCCGGGCUCAACCUGGGAAUGGCAUUUGGGACUGCAAGGCUGGAGUUUGGCAGAGGAGACUGGAAUUCCUGGUGUAGCAGUGAAAUGCGUAGAUAUCAGGAGGAAUACCGAUGGCGAAGGCAGGUCUCUGGGCUAUAACUGACGCUCAUGCACGAAAGCGUGGGGAGCAAACAGG